This 484-nucleotide ribosomal RNA is filed under the name uncultured bacterium. RNAcentral describes it as "partial 16S ribosomal RNA". It matches the Rfam family "Bacterial small subunit ribosomal RNA", at positions 30 to 507 of the family's 1533-position model. The record is from RNAcentral.
AUUGAACGCUGGCGGCAGGCCUAACACAUGCAAGUCGAGCGGAUGAAGGGAGCUUGCUCCUGGAUUCAGCGGCGGACGGGUGAGUAAUGCCUAGGAAUCUGCCUGGUAGUGGGGGAUAACGUCCGGAAACGGGCGCUAAUACCGCAUACGUCCUGAGGGAGAAAGUGGGGGAUCUUCGGACCUCACGCUAUCAGAUGAGCCUAGGUCGGAUUAGCUAGUUGGUGGGGUAAAGGCCUACCAAGGCGACGAUCCAUAACUGGUCUGAGAGGAUGAUCAGUCACACUGGAACUGAGACACGGUCCAGACUCCUACGGGAGGCAGCAGUAGGGAAUAUUGGACAAUGGGCGAAAGCCUGAUCCAGCCAUGCCGCGUGUGUGAAGAAGGUCUUCGGAUUGUAAAGCACUUUAAGUUGGGAGGAAGGGCAGUAAGUUAAUACCUUGCUGUUUUGACGUUACCAACAGAAUAAGCACCGGCUAACUUCGUG